RNAcentral lists this ribosomal RNA (496 nucleotides) under uncultured bacterium. RNAcentral's name for it is "partial 16S ribosomal RNA". It matches the Rfam family "Bacterial small subunit ribosomal RNA", at positions 29 to 507 of the family's 1533-position model. The record is from RNAcentral.
AUGAACGCUGGCGGCGUGCCUAAUACAUGCAAGUCGAGCGAACGGACGAGAAGCUUGCUUCUCUGAUGUUAGCGGCGGACGGGUGAGUAACACGUGGAUAACCUACCUAUAAGACUGGGAUAACUUCGGGAAACCGUAGCUAAUACCGGAUAAUAUUUUGAACCGCAUGGUUCAAAAGUGAAAGACGGUCUUGCUGUCACUUAUAGAUGGAUCCGCGCUGCAUUAGCUAGUUGGUAAGGUAACGGCUUACCAAGGCAACGAUGCAUAGCCGACCUGAGAGGGUGAUCGGCCACACUGGAACUGAGACACGGUCCAGACUCCUACGGGAGGCAGCAGUAGGGAAUCUUCCGCAAUGGGCGAAAGCCUGACGGAGCAACGCCGCGUGAGUGAUGAAGGUCUUCGGAUCGUAAAACUCUGUUAUUAGGGGAGAACAUAUGUGUAAGUAACUGUGCACAUCUUGACGGUACCUAAUCAGAAAGCCACGGCUAACUACGUG